AUGAACGCUGGCGGCGUGCCUAAUACAUGCAAGUCGAGCGAACAGACGAGGAGCUUGCUCCUCUGACGUUAGCGGCGGACGGGUGAGUAACACGUGGAUAACCUACCUAUAAGACUGGGAUAACUUCGGGAAACCGGAGCUAAUACCGGAUAAUAUAUUGAACCGCAUGGUUCAAUAGUGAAAGACGGUUUUGCUGUCACUUAUAGAUGGAUCCGCGCCGCAUUAGCUAGUUGGUAAGGUAACGGCUUACCAAGGCGACGAUGCGUAGCCGACCUGAGAGGGUGAUCGGCCACACUGGAACUGAGACACGGUCCAGACUCCUACGGGAGGCAGCAGUAGGGAAUCUUCCGCAAUGGGCGAAAGCCUGACGGAGCAACGCCGCGUGAGUGAAGAAGGUCUUCGGAUCGUAAAACUCUGUUAUUAGGGAAGAACAAAUGUGUAAGUAACUAUGCACGUCUUGACGGUACCUAAUCAGAAAGCCACGGCUAACUACGUG
RNAcentral lists this ribosomal RNA (496 nucleotides) under uncultured bacterium. RNAcentral's name for it is "partial 16S ribosomal RNA". It matches the Rfam family "Bacterial small subunit ribosomal RNA", at positions 29 to 507 of the family's 1533-position model. The record is from RNAcentral.